This 23-nucleotide non-coding RNA is filed under the name Arabidopsis thaliana (thale cress). The record is from RNAcentral. Lineage: Eukaryota; Viridiplantae; Streptophyta; Magnoliopsida; Brassicales; Brassicaceae.
AUGUCCAUGCCCAUUAAUGCCCA